Camellia sinensis is the source of this 1225-nucleotide non-coding RNA. NCBI's taxonomy places the organism in Eukaryota, Viridiplantae, Streptophyta, Magnoliopsida, Ericales, Theaceae. The record is from RefSeq and is a predicted model, not a curated record.
UCUCUCUCCCUCUUUUCUUUUUUAUUUAUUUUUAUUUUCCCCCAUUUUUGUUGAGCACACCUUUACCCUUAUCUGUCUCACAGACACACCUCAAGUCUCUCACAUCUUCUCUCUCUUCCUUUCUCACUUUGAUUUCAAAUUUGGAACUCCAUAGUUGUCUCUCACACCCCUUCCUCUUUCCACUGAAAAUUUGAAACACCAACCUCUCUCUAGAAGUUUAUCUCAGCAUACCCAAACCUUCUCUAAUCUACACAACUCCAAGGUUCCAUCGUCCAAGUUUAAUUUCAGCCAACCUUCUUCUGGUGGUGUCUAACGUACUAUUUGUUGUUGUUGUGCUUUAUAGUAUUUGUGGAGGUUGUUGCGAUAUUUUCUGUAUGUAAUUAGUGUGUUAAGUUUUGGGAGAUAUUCUUUGAAGUGUUCUGUUGUAUAUUGGAUAUGUAUUAUAGGUAGUUAUGUACUAUACGAGGUGGGAUUAAUGAUAGCAUCUGGCUGAAUAUGAUAAAUUUGUGAGUUGUAAUGAGGUUGCGGAGUUUGAGGGCUGACAGGUAUGUUUGGAUAAUAGUUGAAUUCAUAGGGAUAUAUGUAGUUGUUUGGAUGAGAAUGUUCGCUAAGCAUGGUGUUAUAGUAACUAUAAUAAUUUUCAGCAAGUGAAUUAUUGUAAGUGGUAUCAUAAUUGGGAAGGGCAUUGUAUAUUGUACUAAGGUCAAAUGUUAAAAAGUCAUAGUUUUCCAUCAAUUAUAGUGUAUUGUUUGUGCAGAAGAGUAAGGUUGAGAAGAUGAUGAGAGGUUGGGAGAGGAAGGGGGGGUGGAGGAUUUUAUAGGGAAAGAAUUUAUUGAGUUGGAUGACUUGGAUGACGAUAAUUGAAGUACUUAAAAGUUUUAGAAUUUGUGUGUUGUUGUUACUUUGUUCAGUUUUUCAUCGGUGAUUUGGCAAGUCUUCGUCAAAUAUUGCCAUUGUUAUUUUGGAUGUGUUGCAUGUGAAAAUUUGAGGUUUCUUAUGUCAAUGUGAAAGGUUGGUUGCCAUUUGGACCUACCAACUUUCCAAUGAAUUGAUUUCCUCGUGCAAUACUUCUUCUUCCAUUGAUUAAAUAUUUUAAAAACAAUAAUGAUUGUUCUAAAAGAAAAGAAAAGAAAAACUACUGUAGGGAUACGAAUACAAGGAUUAGACAUAGAAUUAGGUAGAAAUUCAUAUUCCAAAUUUUUGGAGAAUUUUUUUUAAAAAAUUA